CCAUUAUUCAAUAUUUCCGGGUCACGGUAGUCCCAAAGAAAGUUCAAAAAACUAGCAAAUGCUGCCUCUGCCGGCCGGCCCCGUGCGCACGCCCUGUGACUUACAGUCCCAAAAAUAAUUUGAUUAUGGUAUGUUGUUUUUAAACAAUGAAGCCAGCUUAUUAUUUUAAAAACGUUACAAAAUAAAACAAAAUUGUAUUCAAUAAUAUAAUCUAAUCGACUUGCUUAUUUUAAGCUAUAUUUGUAAAUUAAUAUGUUUCAACAUAAUGCUUUUUUUAUUCACAAUUAUAAAACAUGUUCUUAUCAGACUACCGAUGUAGACCGAUCGGUAUAUAAUAUAUCCGAAUAUGAGAUGUGCUAAUAAAAAUUCGAAAAUUUGAUGAACAAUAGUUUGGCUUAUUUGAUUACUUCCCAAUUUAAAAUUCUAAAAUACACCAUGCAUGUUUAACACCAUAUAAACCAAAAUGACGGAAAAAUUAUU
Molecule: non-coding RNA, 480 nt
Organism: Cinara cedri
Lineage: Eukaryota; Metazoa; Arthropoda; Insecta; Hemiptera; Aphididae
Source: the annotation of a GenBank genome assembly